GCGGAAAUAGCUCAGCUGGUAGAGCACUUGUUUCCCAAACAAGAGGUCGCGCGUUCGAACCGCGUUUUCCGCU
RNAcentral lists this transfer RNA (73 nucleotides) under Dinghuibacter silviterrae. It matches the Rfam family "tRNA". Rfam says of the family: Transfer RNA (tRNA) molecules are approximately 80 nucleotides in length. The record is from Rfam by way of RNAcentral. Lineage: Bacteria; Pseudomonadati; Bacteroidota; Chitinophagia; Chitinophagales; Chitinophagaceae.